AUGCAAGUAGAACGCUGAAGGAGGAGCUUGCUCUCUCUGGAUGAGUUGCGAACGGGUGAGUAACGCGUAGGUAACCUGCCUGGUAGCGGGGGAUAACUACUGGAAACGAUAGCUAAUACCGCAUAACAGUAGAUGUUGCAUGACAUUUGCUUAAAAGGUGCAAUUGCAUCACUACCAGAUGGACCUGCGUUGUAUUAGCUAGUUGGUGGGGUAACGGCUCACCAAGGCGACGAUACAUAGCCGACCUGAGAGGGUGAUCGGCCACACUGGGACUGAGACACGGCCCAAACUCCUACGGGAGGCAGCAGUAGGGAAUCUUCGGCAAUGGACGGAAGUCUGACCGAGCAACGCCGCGUGAGUGAAGAAGGUUUUCGGAUCGUAAAGCUCUGUUGUAAGAGAAGAACGAGUGUGAGAGUGGAAAGUUCACACUGUGACGGUAUCUUACCAGAAAGGGACGGCUAACUACGUGCCAGCAGCCGCGGUAAUACGUAGGUCCCGAGCGUUGUCCGGAUUUAUUGGGCGUAAAGCGAGCGCAGGCGGUUAGAUAAGUCUGAAGUUAAGGGCUGUGGCUUAACCAUAGUACGCUUUGGAAACUGUUUAACUUGAGUGCAAGAGGGGAGAGUGGAAUUCCAUGUGUAGCGGUGAAAUGCGUAGAUAUAUGGAGGAACACCGGUGGCGAAAGCGGCUCUCUGGCUUGUAACUGACGCUGAGGCUCGAAAGCGUGGGGAGCAAACAGGAUUAGAUACCCUGGUAGUCCACGCCGUAAACGAUGAGUGCUAGGUGUUAGACCCUUUCCGGGGUUUAGUGCCGUAGCUAACGCAUUAAGCACUCCGCCUGGGGAGUACGACCGCAAGGUUGAAACUCAAAGGAAUUGACGGGGGCCCGCACAAGCGG
Molecule: ribosomal RNA, 894 nt
Filed under: uncultured bacterium
Lineage: Bacteria
Description: bacterial SSU rRNA
Rfam family: Bacterial small subunit ribosomal RNA
Source: RNAcentral